UACGUAGGGUGCAAGCGUUAAUCGGAAUUACUGGGCGUAAAGGGCGCGUAGGCGGAUGACCAAGUUGGGGGUGAAAGCCCGGGGCUCAACCUCGGAAUUGCCUUCAAAACUGGGUGUCUUGAGUGUGAGAGAGGUGAGUGGAACUCCGAGUGUAGAGGUGAAAUUCGUAGAUAUUCGGAAGAACACCAGUGGCGAAGGCGACUCACUGGCUCAUUACUGACGCUGAGGCUCGAAAGCGUGGGGAGCAAACAGG
Molecule: ribosomal RNA, 253 nt
Filed under: uncultured bacterium
Lineage: Bacteria
Description: partial 16S ribosomal RNA
Rfam family: Bacterial small subunit ribosomal RNA
Source: RNAcentral